Molecule: unclassified non-coding RNA, 215 nt
Filed under: plant metagenome
Description: partial contains small subunit ribosomal RNA, internal transcribed spacer 1, and 5.8S ribosomal RNA
Source: RNAcentral
UCUCCGUUGGUGAACCAGCGGAGGGAUCAUUACUGAGUUUACAACUCCCAACCCAUGUGAACAUACCUUUUGUUGCUUCGGCGGGAUGCCCCCGGCGCCUAGUGUGCCCGGGAAUCAGGCCCCCGCCGGAGGACCCAAACUCUUGUUUUUCUAUAGAGCUUCUGAGUGGAUUAUUUUAAUAAUUAAAACUUUCAACAACGGAUCUCUUGGUUCUG